Molecule: microRNA precursor, 66 nt
Filed under: Olea europaea subsp. europaea
Lineage: Eukaryota; Viridiplantae; Streptophyta; Magnoliopsida; Lamiales; Oleaceae
Source: RNAcentral
AAGGGGGGGGGGGGGGGGGGGGCUACAGCCCAGCCCCCCCCCCCCUCCCCCCCCCUAUAUCCGUCU